CCUACGGGUGGCAGCAGUGAGGAAUAUUGGUCAAUGGGCGAGAGCCUGAACCAGCCAAGUCGCGUGAAGGAUGACGGCCCUACGGGUUGUAAACUUCUUUUGUCAGGGAGCAAUUGGGUCCACGCGUGGGCUUAGCGAGAGUACCUGAAGAAAAAGCAUCGGCUAACUCCGUGCCAGCAGCCGCGGUAAUACGGAGGAUGCGAGCGUUAUCCGGAUUUAUGGGGUUUAAAGGGUGCGUAGGCGGAAUAUCAAGUCAGCGGUAAAAAUUCGGGGCUCAACCCCGUCGAGCCGUUGAAAAGGGCAGACUUGAGUUGGCGAGAAGUACGCGGAAUGCGCGGUGUAGCGGUGAAAUGCAUAGAUAUCGCGCAGAACUCCGAUUGCGAAGGCAGCGUACCGGCGCCAGACUGACGCUGAGGCACGAAAGCGUGGGGAUCGAACAGGAUUAGAUACCCGGGUAGUC
RNAcentral lists this ribosomal RNA (460 nucleotides) under uncultured bacterium. RNAcentral's name for it is "partial 16S ribosomal RNA". It matches the Rfam family "Bacterial small subunit ribosomal RNA", at positions 338 to 795 of the family's 1533-position model. The record is from RNAcentral.